GUCUCUGCCACCCUACAAGGGGUGGUGGUGUUGGUGGGCUGGGAGCUGAGGCCCUACUCUUAUGGUGAUUCACAGUAACUCUGCACGAAUUGGGGGCUUUCGUCUUCGAUGGUGCAAACGAGGUUCCGCCCUAUCAACUUUCGAAGGUAGUGUAGGGGACUACCUUGGUUGUAACGGGUCACGGGGAAUUAGGGUUCGAUUCCGGAGAGGGAGCCUGAGAAACGGCUACCACUUCCAAGGAAGGCAGCAGGCGCGCAAAUUACCCAAUCCCGAUACGGGGAGGUAGUGACAAGAAAUAUCGAUGUAGGACCCUUUUGGGUACUACGAUCGAAAUGAGAACAAUUUAAAAUCCUUAUCGAGGAACCAUUGGAGGGCAAGUCUGGUGCCAGCAGCCGCGGUAAUUCCAGCUCCAAUAGUGUAUAUUAGAGUUGUUGCGGUUAAAAAGCUCGUAGUUGAACUCUGGGCUUGGGAAGUUGUCCUCCGUUCCCUUUGGUUCCGGGUGGCGGGUGUCUUGUGCCUGUUUCUGCCCACCACGGGUGGGGGCAGGUGCGCGGGUGCCACGGUUGUCCGGGGCUAUCUGGGGGGGCGGGCAAAAGGGCUUCUUCUCUAACCGUUCACACAAGGCGUUCGUCACAAUUAUGGUCCCUCGGUUGGGCCUGCUCCGGCCGGUGGAUCGUGUCGUUCACUUUACUUUGAAGAGAUUCGAGUGUUUAAAGCAGGCAAUAUUUGUAUCCGAAGACAUUAGCAUGGGAUAAUGAAAGAAGACUCAUCCUUACCUUCAUUGGUUCUUAAGGAGUGGGUAAUGAUUAAUAGGGACAGUCGGGGUCGGUGGUACUGAGUGGCUAGAGGUGAAAUUCUAUGACCCACUCAAGACCGACAACUGCGAAAGCAUUCGACAAGGAUGUUUUCAUUGAUCAAGAACGAAAGUUGAGGGAUCGAAGAUGAUCAGGUACCGUCGUAGUCUCAACUGUAAACGAUGUCGACUCGGGAUUGGAGGGCGUUACAUGGAUGACCCCUCCAGCACCGUGUGAGAAAUCAUAAGUAACCAGACUCCGGGGGGAGUAUGGUCGCAAGGCUGAAACUUAAAGGAAUUGACGGAAGGGCACCACCAGGAGUGGAGUCUGCGGCUUAAUUUGACCCAACACGGGGAAACUUACCAAGUCCGAACACGACGAGGAUUGACAGAUUAAUAGCUCUUUCUUGAUUUUGUGGAGAGUGGUGCAUGGCCGUUUUUAGUUGGUGGAGUGAUCCGUCUGGUUAAUUCCGUUAACGAACGAGACCUUAACCUGC
This 1290-nucleotide ribosomal RNA is filed under the name metagenome. RNAcentral's name for it is "bacterial SSU rRNA". It matches the Rfam family "Eukaryotic small subunit ribosomal RNA", at positions 174 to 1351 of the family's 1831-position model. The record is from RNAcentral.